CGGUCAGAAAGCGGUUCCAGGUAGAACUCUUGAAGAAAGGGAUCAGAGGGGAGUGGACAGUUGUGGAAAAGGCUGAUCGUUUUUCGUCACUAAAGAACGUGUACUUUUUAUCCGUUUAUAGUUGCUUUAAAUGAGUAUAAAACCAAUCAACACCUGACGGAUCAGAACGCAGAACCUUCCAGCGCAGUUCAUCAUUUCAUAACAAACAGCCAUUUUGGAUUUUCUAUAAUAAAAAAAAAUAAAAAAUCAAAGUGAAUGAAAUUCCGGCUUCUCUAACUAACGCAUCGUUAAAUUCUGAAAUAAAACUCAUUAACGUCUCCCGAGAGCGUUUUUAUUUUCUUGUGUUUCUGCUGGGUUUUGUUAUUGUUGUUGUUGUUGUUGUUGUUGUCGGUGGUUAUUAUUUUUAGCGAAGCUGCUGAGCUGAACUGAUGCAACUGGGUGCAAAUCCCUGAAGCCCUGAUGACCGCUUUUUGAGGGUGUUCAUGUCUCCAGAUGGCUGAGUGUGAUGGGUCCUGACAAGACCGACCUCCAAACACACACACACACAUCUCUCUCUCUUUCUUUUUUUUUUAGAACCCUUAAGGAUGAUUCGUGUUGUCCCUCUGCGGGAACUGUGAAAGAUUCUGUGUAAAACCCUACAAGAGAGUUCCAUUAGAAAAGGUUCCACGUAGAAAUGCUUAGGAGACUAUGAACCCUUCAAUUAUCCAGUGAACCCAUAAACACCCUUUCUUCUAACAUUCUUAAGGCUCGUCUCUCCUGGGGGAACUCCUACGUAGAACGCUACAACAAAUGGUUCAAACCUUUUAGGAGACUAAAACCCCCUUGAUUAUCCACAGAACCUCUAAGGAACCGGUGAAGAACCUAUUCUAUUCGCGUCGUCCCUGCUAUGAGAACCGUUCAAGCUUCUAUGUAGAACCCUACAACGGAGUGUGCUUCGUCCAUUAGAAAAGGUUCCACAGAGAACUGCUUGAGGAAACUAUGAACCAUUAAAUGAUCCACGAUUCUUAAGAGUUCUUCGGGUGUCUCUCUUCGGGGAACCCGUAAAGAUUCUACAUAGAGCAACAAAUGGUUCAAACAUUUUAGGAGGCUAACCCUACAAGACAGAGUGUCUUUCCGUAAUAGAAAUGGUUCCACAUAGAACAGUUUUUUUUUUUUUUUGGAAGCUAAAAAUCCUUACCUGUCUAACACACCCUUGAAGAACACUUGUUUAGUAGAACCUUUACAUUGCCUUUGCGGUCCCUCUUGGGGGAACCCUUUAAGAUUCCAUAUAGAACCCUACAGCAAAGUGUUUAGAACCCUUCAGGGUUGUUCGGUUGUCUUUCUUUUGGGAAACCCGUAAAGAUUCUAUGUAGAACUCUACAAAAAAAAACGUGUUUUUCGACAAGAAACGGUUCCAGGUCGAAACCGUUUUGGAGGCCAAGAACACUUAAUUAUCCUCAGAACCUCUGAAGAACUCUUGAAGAACCAUUUUUACCAAGAUACAAACAUGGCAGAGUGCCAAAAAAAUGCAAUUUAGCAGUGGGGUUUUUAUAUAAACAAUAUAAAAUAGGCGUAUUUAACGCUUUGUUAAGCUCCGCCCCCUGGGUUACUCCUACAUACAGAGACGUUAAUAUCUUGGUCGUUUUUUGGAGCAAAGUACCCAAAAUUUUUGCAAGGAUGUCAUGGAUGGAACUGUUGAUGGAAACAUACUAGAUAUUCUUUAUUGAUUUAUUUAUGGAAAGAUCGAAACUCCAGCUAGCUACGCUCCUGGACAAUUUCCGUACUCUUAACGACUCUACGUAGAACCCUCCAAAUAAGUGUUUGGAAGCAAAGAACCCUUAAAGAACCCUUGAAGAACCUUUUCCAAGAGUAAACCCAGUAAUCAUCAUCAUCAUCAUCAUCAUCAUCAUCAUCAUCAGGAUGAACUGGCUGAGUGUACGUGCACAGAUCACACGCACAGCAGAUUUGCCAACGAUUAAACUUUUUUAUUUGUUAAAGAACUUCACGCCAUAGUUUCUAUCCAUUUAGAGUUACCUUUAAGGUUGUGGAACAUCCCUGGUUUUGUUCAUCGUCUUUUAUUACCGAGAAACCGCAAAAGAAGCACAAACUCCUCCGUCCUAGAAGUUCUAGAUUUACGUCGGACACUGGAGACUCCUUCCGUGAAUGUUAAACAAACAUGUUACUAUAGAAACGAUAACGUUUUAGAACAAGCGCAUUCACGGGAUAAAGAAAAAAAGCUUAAAAUAGUCAUCUUCUGUGGAGAAAAUCCCUUUUCCUAAAAAGUGUCCAAAGUUUAGAAAGAUUCAAUCCAGAAUUGGUGACGUUCUCCAUCAUGGAAAGAAAAGAAGAAAAAAAAAACAAGUUCUUCAUCUUCCUCUCUCUCUCCGUCCUCUCCAUUUAAAAAAAAAAAAAAAAAAAAGGACAUUUGUUUUCCGGAAAGAUGGGAAUGUACAGAUCUGACCCGAGUGAUCCGUGCUUCAGUGCGCAGUAAAAGUCCACACUCGGAUCCAGAGAAGCUUCUGGAAAAAUCCAGGCGUGAUCCAUUAAGAUCUGUAAAAUAUUCCAGCUCUGGUAUACAAACUGAAUCAGAGCUUUCCGUAUCAGACACGAUCCCGGAUUCUCCACCGAAGCCACCGAUCCGAGUGGAGGCACUUUACGACACCAUCCUUUUAACUCGACACGUCUACAAAUUCCCAGUAUAUCCACUCGGAUCAGAUCCGAGCCAGUCCGGAGUUCUCCGGUUCUCCGUCCAGCGUCCAGGCGAGAGAGAGCGAGCUGAAAUAAAAAGAGAACGACGCCGGUGCUGCAGCGUGCUCGGAUUCCGAGUCUCCUGCUCCUCGGGAUUUCCCGGGAUCGGUGAGGAGAAGAUCUGCCGCGUCGCCCGCGGAGCAGAGAGGAGACCGAUCCCGAGCGUGUUGUCCGUUCCCCGUCACGCCGGAGUUAGACGAGAAGGUGAGCCGGGAUCGGACGGACGGAUGGAACGUGCUGUUCCUCUCACGUGAGCUGGAUGGCAGCAGUACGACUCGGAACGACAGAGGCGGGAGACGCUUUGUCUGUGAGGACGAGAGAGGGGAAUGCAAAGGAAUGUCAGAUCAAAUCUUUUAUUUAAAGGAUCUGAUCGGUGCGCGGAAUACGUCCUACUCAACACACACACGUUCUGCACAAUACGUCCUACUCAACACACACACGUUCUGCACAAUACGUCCUACUCAACACACACACGUUCUGCACCUGGGUUUAUUAAAUAUACAGCAUACACAUGUACAUUACUCAUAUCACAGAUAAACCAUCACUCUCUCUCUCUCUCUCUCUCUCUCUCUCUCUCUCUCUCUCUCGUAGACCUUGUUUUUCUUCUCCUUUGGUUUCUGCUUCUUCUCUUUCUCCACUUCCUUUCAGUCUCCUUUUCUUCUUCUAAUCACAAUUUCUUAUUCACUCAUUCUUUCUCUCUCUUAUUUUUAGUUUACAGCCUUCUUUCUUUCUUUCUCUCUCUCUCUUUCUCUUUCCGUCAUGCUCUUUUUUCUCGCUUUUCUUUUUGUUUCUCUUCAUUUGUAAUCAUUUAUUUUCUUUUUUAUAACCACAUUCUUUUGCUUUUCAGCUUUCAAUCUAUUUUUUUUUCUUUCUUCUUACCACGCCUUCUUGUGUUUUUUUUUUCCCUUCCUUCCUUCCUUCCUUCUUUCUUGUUAAUAAAGAGCAGAUGAUUUGCUGCUGCUUGAUUGUAAAGCGUCCAAAGUCAAACAUUUUUAAAUGGACGUUUGAGGUUUUUUUUUUUUUUUAUAAACACAGCAACACGUUUUUAAUGACAUUCAGGUUUUUUUCCUUUCUUUUUUUGUUUGAUACUCCUCUCUUUCUUUCCUUUAUGUCUGUGUCUUUGUUUUAAUUUUCCCACUCUUCCUUGUUUGUUUUUUUCACUUUAACUCCUGAACUCUUUUUUCUCUGACUCAUGAAAAACACAUUUAGUUAUUAGUUUUAAAUUAAAAUGCAUUUUUAAACAAACAUAAUAAAAAUAAAUAAAAAAAAACAGGCUACAGCUUCAGCAACGUGAAUAGCAAUAUGUAUUUCACUUCAUUGAAAUUAUAAUUUUUUUUAAUGAAAUUAAAAUAAUUUAAAAAAUCAUUUUUUAAAGAGAAAAAGAAUAUAAAACACGAAACAGCCAAAAAAAAAAAAAGAAAAAAGAAGGAAAUAGCAGCAGGCAAGAGAUGGCCAAUUAGGUCUGCCAAGUUACCAUGGCAACCAGGACAGACUCAACAAAUGUUGAGUGCUGAGUGUGUGACACACACACACACACACACACACACACUCAUUAGCAUAUCAGCUACACUGUAUUUGUCUCAUUUUAUCUAUGAAGCAAUCAAAUAAAAAAUGUGUACAGGUAGUGUGUAUUGUGUGUAUUGUGUAGUGUGUGGUGUGUGGUGUGUAGUGUGUAAUGUGUAGUGUAGUGUAGUGUGUAGUGUGUGGUGUGUGGUGUGUAUUGUGUUGUGUGUAGUGUGUAUUGUGUAGUGUGUGGUGUGUAUUGUGUAGUGUGUGUUGUGUGGUGUGUAGUGUGUGUUGUGUAGUGUGUAUUGUGUAGUGUGUGUUGUGUGUUGUGUAUUGUGUAGUAUGUGGUGAUUGACGCGUCAUCUGAUAAACACACAGAGUUAAUGAGCAGCAGAAGAAAUGAAUAUAAAUAGAGGAAAUUAGCAUAACCGUAACAGAAGGGUUUAGCUGUUUGAUCUUCAGUCAGAAUGAAUGUAACUUUAUUCUUAUUUUUAUUCUUCUUUCUCUUCUUCUUAUCACUGUUAUUAGAUCUGCAGCAGAGCAGAGACCUGAACACAGUGAAUAACAAAUAAAACGUCCUCUAGAAUCUGUUACACAUAUAGUAGAUAUGUAAUACAGGAUAUACAGUGCAAUCAAAUCAUCAUAAUCAUCAUCAUCAUCACCAUCAUAAUCAUAAUAAUAAAUUGUGUUUUUGUUUAAAGUUCACAAGUCAUGUAUAAUUACGGUGCGAUUUUGUUUAGAGAAGUUUUUAUUAUUCUUAACUGGAAAAGGUGACAAUAAAUUACUAACAAAAAUCAAUAAAAACAGAAAAAGGACACGUGAGGGACAGAGAAAAAGGAAGGAAGGAAGGAUGGAAGGAAGGAUGGAGAAAUGGGAAGAAGGAAAGAUGGAAGGAAGGAAGGAAGGAGGGAAAGAAGGAGAGGUGGAAGGAAGGAAGGAAGGAGAGAUGGAAGGAGGAAAUGCUGAAAGGAAUGAUGGAAGGAAGAAAGAAAAAGAAAGUAAGAAAGAAAGAAAGAGGUUUAAAAAAAAUCUUGGGCAGAGAAAUGAAAGCAAGGGGGAAAAACAGACUGAAGAAAGUGUCAAAGCAAGCAAAACAGAGUAAAGAAGAGAGAACGUGAAAAAGACCGAGCAAAGCGUGAAAGAAAGAAACAAAAAGAGGGAUGUUAAAAGAAAAAGAAAAACUGGGGAGAAACUGGGGGAAAGUAAUGCGUUUUUGACAAAAGUACUGCACUCAUACGGAGCUGAAAGAGACGAGGAGAAAAGAGAGAGAAGAAAGCAGAGAAAACAGGAAGGAAAUGGAGAUCAAGCAAAAGGAAAAAGAGAAGAAAUAAAGAAGAAAAAAAAGAAAAACAACGAAAAAAGAGAAAAGGGAAAAUAACACAAGGAAAGAAACUGUCAUUAGAAGAAAAAGAAAAGGAGGGAAGGAGACAAAAAAGAGCAAGAAGGAAAAGAAAGAAAGAUGUUUGCUAAUAAAUAAGUAUAAUAAUGCGGGUCAGUGUGAAACCGUUCAAGUCAGUGAACUGCACAGUGUCUUUUACCUCCUCUUCCUCCUCUUCCUCCUCCUCCUCCUCUUCCUCCCUCCAUCCUCCUCCACCUCCCGCAGGUGUAAACACAUCCAUCUGCCCCUCGGAGCGUCUCGUUUCCCCUCCGUGUGGUCGAGAGGAGAGAGACGGACCCUCGACCCGAGCCUUCAGCUUUCUGAGAGCUGUCGUCUUAACAAGCGCCGGUGGGAAGAGCCUGCCAGCGCUCAGCUGUCUCCACAGUGAAGGAGAAAACACCAUUCUGAAACAUAAAGAGGACGAUAGUAUGGUGAGGUCGCAGGGGUCACGGUGGGGUCACGGGGGGUUCGUGCAGUCUGGGCACUCGUCUCGCGCUCUGGCCUCCAGGUGAUGUCAUCCAUCUGGCACUAAUUUGGUCCUGAAUUUCCUUCCUGGGUCACAAGGUGUGACAGCUCGCUCACUUUCUCUGGGUUUGCCCUUGUUCAGUGAACACACACACACACACACACACACACACACACACACACACUUCACUUUAACAUUAACUCCAACACUGUACUGUAGCUCUGAAUUUGUGUUGUGAAUCUCACACAGAGCAUUUUCGCAUUAAGUAUGAUUCUCUCUCUCUCUCACACACACACACACACACACACACACACACACACACACACACACACACACACACACACACACAUUAUUAAUGGCUUUGUUUUAAACAUCACAUUAAUGUGCACAAGAUACAGAGAUGUUUAUAAAAACUUCUGAAAAUAAUACUUCAGUAAAACACCAAAUCUACAGUGAUCAGAAGUCAGGAACGAAUGAAAGUACGCUAAUAAUAAUAAUAAUGCAUGAUGAGAAGGAAGGAAGACUGUGAGUGUUAAGAAAGAAAGAAAGAAAGAAAGAAAGAAAGACAAUGUGAGUGUUAAUAUAUAUAUAAAAAGAAAGAAAUUCUGAGUCUUAAUAAGAAAGAAAGAAAAAGAAAGAAAGGCAGGAAUCCUUUUCCUGGAUGCCCUGAGCAGGCAUCUAUAGGCCAAAGAGGAACCUGGCUCGCUCGCUCGCUCGCGCUCGCUCUCUCUCUCUCUCUCUCACUCUCUCUCUCUCUCACACACACUCUCUCACACACACACACUCUCACACACACACUCUCACACACACACUCUCACACACACACUCACAGAGCUGGUCCAGAUGGCAGGCUGUGAUCAUUUAUUUAUGAGGAAGUUCACAGAGUUCUGCUAGCCUGCUCUCUGAGCCACCCAUCCCACACACACACACACACACACACGCACACACACAUAUACAUAUAUACUGUACACACACACACACACCACACUACUGCUGCAGUUAAAAUGGCGGCACCCAUGCACAUUUGGCUAGCAGUCAAAGCUAAGUGUAACUGCAGCAUCAUUUUAAUCAUACAGCGUCUAUUCUUAGCAAUUUAACAACACAUCUGAGGUAAAUGUGAUGUUCUGGAUGGUUCUGUAUCAUUUCCACCGUCACUGUGAUUUUACAAGCCUUAUAAAAGACACCUUAUGACAGAAAGUUGACGUUUUUCAAUACAACACACACGACUGAUGUUUAGCAUUUGAUGCUAAGUGUAAUUACGGUGUAAUUUCAGUUGUACGACGCCUUUUCUUAAUAAUAGCGUUUUUCAAUAUGGUGGCAAAGUUAGCAUUUGAUGCUAAGUGCAAUUACCGUGCAACGUUAGUUGUGGAACGUCUUUUAUUUUGUCAUUUUCCAACAUAUCUGAGGUAAAUGUUAACGUUCCUGGCAGUUGUGUAUUAUUCACAACAAUAUUGUUCGCAUAAAAGUGCUAAACGCUCCCAUGGAUGCUAGCUAAAUCUCGCCAAGUGUGAUUUCUGUCUUGUAAAGUCGUUUCUUAGUAAUUUAACCGCACGUCUGAGGUAAAUGUCGAUGUUCCUGAUAGUUCUCUCGUUUCUACUGCAAGUGACUGUAUAAAUGAUCAUUUAGAGUGUAAUUUUAGUCUAACGAAGUCUUUUCUUAAUCAUUUAACACCACAUCUGAGGUAAAUAUUGACGCUCCUGAUAUUUCUGUCUGGUUUCCACUUGAAUUCACGGUGUAAAUGAUCAAUUACGCUGCGAUUAUAGUCGUACAAAGCCUUUUUUUUUUGUUGCUAAUUUACCAGCACGUUAGAGAUAAAAUGUUGAUGUCACCGUGUCUUUACAUUGUCCGUGUAAAUGACGUAACGUCUACACGUAUUGUACGUGUAUUUCCUGGUGCUCAGAAAGCAAAUAACUUGUGUGUCACAGUGUUUUUCAAUAUGGCGGAGAAGUUAGUAUUUGAUGCUAAGUGCAAUUAAUGUUAGAUAUCUGAGGUAAGUGUCAAUGUUCAUGGCAGCUUGGUAGCUAAAGCUGGAUUUUUAGACAACGACACCUCCAAAAGAAGAAAUAAGAAAUUGUCUGUCCUCACAGUGCCUUCAGUGUAUAUCACACUAUUUUACUUUUCUUUUUUCUUCUUCUUUUUUUAAGAAAUAUACAGCCAUGGAUGGAGAAACAUCAAUCAUUCCCCAUAUGCAAGCUGUAAAUAUUAUGUACACUCCUAAACACAUCACACACGCCUUGAUGUUUCAGGUCUAGCGAGCCAAUUCCUGUUAAACUCCCUCAGCGUGAAGAGGCCACGGCUUAAACACACAGUGUAUAUUUUGCCAGAUGUGGUGCGAUGAAAUAUAAGAGGGACGGGACGCGUGUACACUCGGCCUCUGUCUUCAGUUUCACUUAUAUUCUGUCAGGAAAGUCAGAUUCACGUUUUUCAUCAUGUUUUAUUUUGUUUUUAGGCAGGGUUUCCUGUCACGCCACAGCGGAUCUACAUGCUUCACCGGCCAGUAAGAAAUCCAAACUUUUGUUGUAUGAAUUUUAUUAGGGUCAAUAUUAGACUUUUCCCUUUUUUACCUCCUCUGAAUGUUUUUUUUUUUGCUUUUCGUGGGUUUCUAAAAGCUAGAUGUCAACAAAUUAUAUUAAUAGUAGUAGUAGUAGAAGAAGUAGCACAACAUUACUACUACCACUACUACUACUAACAACAACAACAUCUGGAUAGUCAAUUUUUUGUUCUCUUUUUUACUAUAUAUAUAUAUAUAUAUAUAUAUAUAUAUAUAUAUAUAAGGCACAUAUGGUUCAACAAACCCUCUUAAUAUUAUUAAAAUUAAUAUAAUUAAUUAAUUAAUUAAUAUAUUAAUAAUCAUAUUAAUAUUAUUAUUUUAUAUCAUCAUCGUUGGGUGUAAUGACGUACACAAAUCCUCAUCAAAAUAUUAUAAAGAAUCUAAAUAUCCUAAAUAAAUAUUACAAUUUUUGUUUUUUAUUUAUUUAUUUUUCCAUGUUUGGUUGGGUUCUAUAGAAAAAUAAAACCCGUCUGUCCAUCCAUAUAAACCUUGAAAAUGACAAUGAGUUUCAAUUUUCCCAUGUAUACGAAUGGAAAAUUUCACACGCACGGAUGAUGUUCUCAGCUUCUGUUCUCUUUGUAACGUAACGUUUUAAUUGCUAUGCACAGCACUUCGGUAGCUCGGUGUAGUAAGUGCUAUAUAAAUGACAUUUAUUUUUAUAAUCUAGUUUUCCCUCAGGCGGUUGCAGAGUCAGCAGUUCUGCCAGUCAUCAGCACAGAUUUGAUGGUGCUGCGAAAUCUCCUUCACACAAAUCCAAACCGAAACCCAUAUGUGCCGUUUCUUUCCAUUUCCACACAAACAAAAUCAUAACGUGUUUGUUUACAAUUACGGGCAAGUAGCCGCAUUUUAACAGGUUAAUAAAGAUUUAAUGUUUAGAGGGAAGAGAUUUACACAGCCGCGUCUUUACGAGUCAGUAAAACAGGUGGAGGAAAAUGUGCUUAAUGCAGCCCAUGAGCUGUUAAAAAAUAUUUUUUUCCAUUGAAGUUCCCGCCGUUAACAAGUCCAUAAAGAAACAUUACGGUGUGUGUGGCUUCGCUUUGAGCACAACUGAGCACCAGACUCAAAAUCCUCUAAAGUUAACACGAUUUUUUUCCGUUCACUAAAUUUAUCCACGCAGUGCAUCAGUUUGACCAGAGGAGGCGCUGUUGUAAACAUUAUAUUAUUAAGUUUGCAAUGAACCAAUAUUCAACAAUGGAACAAAUCACUAUCAUGUCUGCGCUAUAAAAUAACGCACAGUGCAAAGAUUCUCUCGACGUCUAACACAUAUAUAAUUGUUCUUUAACAUGUACGUGACCUGGUUUUAAACACAAUUUCACACCAGUGAUACGCCACAUCUGGAAACAACGUCUUACUGUGAUGUAAUGUACAACAUUAUAAGAGAACAGUAAAAAUGUUUGUUUUUUUUUUUAAUCAUUUUGUUAUCACGGUAUACAGUCAUGCUAAUAUAUCUUUAUAUUCCCAAUUUACUCAAUAAAAUAAAUACACUAAUUUUUCUUCUAUCCAGGCAACUUCUACAGCUACUUUAAAAUUUUAACGAGACAUUAAAAAAAAUAAAAACUCAAGCUCAUAUAGUUAAAAAAAGAAUAUAAAAAAGAAAAUACUCAUACUCAAUAUCAUGUGUAUGUAUUUGUUAAAUAUUAAUAACGAAAUAUUUAUAAUAGUAGCAAAAUAAUGUAACUAUAUUAUUGAAUAUUUAACAUCGUCGCUAUCAACAUAGUAAAGAUGAAAAAUCUCGUAAAUGUAACCGAUGGCAAUUGUUAAUUAUGAUAUAAUUCACACUCUUCAAUUCACCCAAUAAGAUUUCAAAAACAAAUGUACUGAUGCUUUGAAUUCAACAUAAACCUUGAUUUAGCGUAAAUUUCUGAAGAUAAACUUCAGGCUUCUAAAACGUUAAAAAAUUAUUCAUUUAUAAAGCUGAGAAAAUAAAAUAUUUGUUUCAAGGAAACGCACCUGGUUAAGUCCUCUGUGGUUCUGACCCACAUCGUCUUCCAUAGUCUGGUUAUCCAUUUGGACCCACUUCGCGCUCCACGUUCUUUGUUUUUGUUCUUUUUCAUCGGUACGUUUUAGAAAUGGUUUUCGGGGACUGUUAAGAAUUUUACAAUUGCAUGUCAUAAUUUGAGCAUUAGUUGUUCGAGGAUACAAUGGCAAAGUGAACUCACAUGAUGAGAACACAUUUACAUGACAUGGAACAUACACAACAAAUUCACUUUAUGAUCAAAGAAUGUUUGAUCAUAGAAUUUUUAACAAAUUCAUUUUAAUAGCAAAAUAUGAACACUGAGUUUAGAAAUAUAUCAUUAGAAUUUGAGAUUAGUGAUCAUUUCUUUAAUCUAUUAAAAUGACCAAAUAGAACCGUAUAAUUCCAAGAUCUUAGCGUGUAUGUAAAUAAUAAAACAAAUACACAGAAUGAUUAAGAGUUACAGAUUUUCAGUUUUAACCUGAAAUUGAUACUAAUAAGUAAAUAAAUACAAACAUAAAUGUGAACAAAGCAACUCGUAGCCUGCUGGAGAUACUUCUAGGAUUAAUUGUAUAUUGAGAUUGUUGAGGAUUUUUGAACUUAAGUGCAAAAAACAAUUUUAUAUUCUUUUUUAAAAUUUUUUAUUUAUUAAUAAAGUGUUUGAGGAUGUUCACACAUAACAUGGUACAUUUAAAUAAUAUAAUAAAACUAAUACUUUUUUUUUUUUUACCAUUUAUGAAAUAACUACCAAUGCAGCAAAUUCAAAAUAGUAAUUUACAUUUGAAGAGCUAAAUAUUUAUAUUUGUAGUCACUCAGUGGUUAAGUUUCUGUGCUAGUGACCAGAACAUUAUACGGCCCUUAAGCAAAAUCCUCAACCCUCAACUGCUCGGCUUUUUAUUUAUUUAUUUCGGUAGUUUCGAUUUUUCACACCGUGAGGUUUUUUUUUGGCUGCCCUUUUGGAACAAUGAAAUCUUUGUUUAAAAAAAAAAAAAAAAAAAAAGGUUUUGGGGAAAAAGAAAAAAACCUCCAGCAUGCUCUCCUCACAAAUCUGGAAAAAAGACGAAGGUCAAAGGUCAUCAUGGUGUGCACUUCUGCCCUUUCUGAUGAGCUCAGCAGUUUUCCCAUGAUGCACUGCACUAGUCUGCCAAGUCCUGUUCAGGCCUGGUUGAUCAUGAUAAAUGCAACUGUGGUACUUCCUGACAAAAAACGAAAGAAAGAAAGAAAGAACCCAAGUUUCUGAGAGGCUCGAGUUUGUAUUGUAUUUGUGCACUCUGUUCAACGAUUGCACGUUGGCUACACUCAAAACCACAACACUAUCAUGCUAACUUGAAGUGGUCCAUGCUAACCGCUAUUAGUAUACUCUUUUCCUUCAGCGCCGUUCGUUGUGCGUAAUCACUUUCAACGCACUGUACGUGACAUCUAUUCAUUUACUAUCACUCGCUGGUUUAUUGGCUUACUUGAGGAUAGAUCUACAAAUAUAAUCACUCAUUAUUCAUUGAAUAAAAUAACCAGCUAGGUCGCCAAGCGAGUUCCCUUUCGUGGCUAGCGUGCCAGUCACACACGUUCGCUAGAUCAGCUUCUAGGUCAUGUGACUUCUGGAAAUACCAACACGAAUUGGACCACAGAGUAGACAGCUAGCUACAAGACAAGCAGUUUGUUUAUUUUAUCAACAGAAUUUUAGUGAACAGCUCAAAGAAAUAUAGAAAGCGUAAGAGUAUUCCAAAGUUGCUGAAACAUAGUGACGGUUAUCUCUCGCCAGUUUAUCGGAUUGCCCAAGAAUGACUCCGCAGCUACCACAGCUAGCUAGCUACGUUUGUACACACAUGCCUCACUGUGGAAAAUGUGGGGAUUUGCUGAGGAGUCUCAGUUCAGUCUCGUCCAUUGAACAGAAUUAUGGGACUAGCUAAGCUACGAACUGAAUAGCCUUUUAAAAGGGGUUCUUCAGACAGGUUCCUUCAGAGAACCUUUAAGAUCUUCCAAUUAGGUGCAUCUGCGUGCUGGUUUGGACAUUUUAUCGUUCCGUCGCUCCUCGAGCAUUCAACAUGAACUUCAAAACUGUUCUGAUUUUCCACUGAGCACGUCAGGGAACUGGGAGCGGGCAACACUCCACGCGCAACCAUUCUGCCGAUGACGUCAUCACGGCUGAUCUUUCUAAUGGUUUUUUUUUCCCCCCCAGCAGCCGUCCUUCAAGCAUCAACGACGAGCUAUAACUCCAGCUUUAAUUGUUGCGCAAAUUGCUCUGCGGUUGCGGAACCACCUUUGUGACGUUUACCAGCGGAGACGUUCAUUGGCCACAACAAACGAGGCUCGUGAGUGUGUAUUCCUUGUGUGCGUUAGGUUCUCAGAGGGUUCUGCGCCAGGAUUUAAUCAGAAGCAUGAGUUUGUGGGGUUUUACACAAACUUUACCGUAUUACAUCUGCCUGCGCUGUUACCAACGUGUACGCGGAACUAAAAACGACGGAAUACCAAAGUGUACGAAAUAUAGCGAAUAACGGCGUGUACAGAAUACUGAAGAUGUACUGCGUACCAAAACGUAUGAAAUGCCAAGGCAUGAGGAAUACCGACGUGUAAGGAAUAAAGUGUACAAAACACCGAAGUGUACAGAAUAUGAAAGUAUUCAAAAUAAGUGUAUGAAACACCAAAAUACGGAAGUAUGCGGAACACAAACGUGUGGGAAAUACAGCAGGAAAGAACAAAGAGUACGGAAUUCUGCACUCCUAUUUCCCAUAGAACAGUUUUUACCCAGAAUCCCCAAAGCAGGAUUAUUACCUUAGAGAUCAGAGAUGUGUUAACUAUCACUUGACCGAACACUGUCCCAGCUGUGCAAAGAAACGCUUUGUGUAAAUCCGACGUGUAAACUUCACUCAGGUGAGGCGGUGCUCGGAAUGCCGCGAUGCUUCAUCACGCUUCAUCACUCAGGUGGUCCAUACAUGCAUUUUUCUUUUUUUUUCCCCCUUCCAUGUGAGACUACGUUCUCGCGUGUGCAUGUGUUGCUCAUUUGUCAAAUUGUCAGAGAAUUUGCAUAAAAAUGUAGUUUUGUGCGUGUACGGGUCUGCAUCUGGCUUCCAGCUGUUACGCACAUCUGUCACGCCGCUAUGGACGUGCGACGCUGUAUAUCGAUACGGCGGUAACGUAUCGACAGUGUAGAACGAUUUCCACGAUCAUCGGUACACCUUUCUGGAGCGUGCUAAUAUUAAAGUAAGGUCAUUUGUGGGUAACUUUCGAAAAUAAUCGAAAGAAAUCUAAAAUUACCCGCAAUCUCCGUCUUUAAUAAAACCUCGUUACGAGUCCCGAUUCCCGUCCGAACGCAAUUAAACGUGAGCCUUGGAGGAUAAAGUAAAGCUUGUUAAUACGUUUCUUUACUGCACUUGUGACCAUAUUAAAUCUAAUAAUACGAUAUCGUGCGUGUGUGUGUGUGUGUGUGUGUGGGUCGUGGACCUGCCAGCUUCUCAGGCAUACAAAAUGAAGUUUUCUCUCAUUAUACAGUCAAAGUCAGACUCCAGCCUCUCAGAGGGACGUCAAUAACAAACAAACUGAAGUGAAUAAAGAUCAGAUUACUGCGUUUUGGCUGCGUAGGCAAAAAAAUAAUAAAUCAACCCUUUCAGCAUUGAUUAUGAUAAAUAGCAGCUCUCGAUGCAACGAGUCGCAACAUGCAUGAGCGAAGGACAACGCUGCAUGAGUUGAAUACGCGAAGAGUACUACUAAGGGAAACGUCUGGAAUCUGGACAGAAGGCGUGACAGAGCAGCCGAAAGUCGUUUAUUUUCAAUUAAGGUUGAUAGAUAAAGUGGUGACGGAAGCAGAGGGAAGUGGGCGGGGCUAGAUGCAUCAAAUCUUAACGGGAUUCACUGAUUUAUCGUGUACGGUAUUACUAAUACAAAUGAUCGACAAGGAUUUAUCCGAUUUCUAGACAUUUUCACAAAUUUGGAAUCAGAAAUCAUCCUUUGUCGGAUCGUUUUGAUAACUCCCGUCGAAAAUGGGAGUGAAUAGUGAAGCGUACGGAGUAGUGAAGUGAACCAAAUGAUGAAGGAUAAGGAAUAGUGACGCGGACGGAAUAGUGAUAAUAUAGUGUAUGGAAUAGUGAAGUGAUUAGCGCAUUUUAGAGCCCUCUGCUGGCUGAGAGGUGAAUUACAGUUACAGCUUACAAGACUUCAACUUCCUUAACCCUAUGGAUGAACGGAUGGUUGAAUGGAUGGAUGGACUAAAAAUGAAUGGAAGAACGGAUGGGGGAUGACUGGAUGGAUGGAUGAAAGGAAGACUGGAUACAAGCCACAUGAAUAGAAGGAUGGACAACUGAAAGGAAGACCUGAAGGGAUGGAUAAACGGAUGGAUGAAAGGACAGACGGAUGGAAGGAUGGAAAGGACAGAUUGUAAAAGAAUGAAGGCAGGAAAGUAAGGAUGGAUGGACAGAUGGAUGAAAGUAUAAAAUAGCAGAUGGAUGGAUGGAUAAAGGGACGCAGGGACAAAUGAAUCAGAAGUAAACAAUUCAGUUUGAUUCAUAAAUUCUUCUCAAAAUCGAAAAAUAAAAAUGACCUCAACCAAACAUCAUACUACAUUUUUAACUGAUGUUAUUUAUUUGAGAUUUUUUUGGGGAUGUAUUAUUGAAAUUUUUCUUUAUGCAUUACACAUUAGAGGCCAGAGGCAGUCCACGUCGUGUCCACGCUGCCCUCCGGCUGUUUUACAUUUUAGAACAAUUUCUUUUGAAAUAAAUUCUCGCUUCAUCUCGGCGACAGAAAAAUAGAAUUAAUACCUAAAUAAAUAAAAACAACGGAGCUCCACAAUCACUGUUUUAUUUCUCCUCAGGUAACAAACACGGCUCUCUCGGAUGGAAAACCCUUUCAUUAUCAUCUAUCGCUAUCGCGCUAAAUCUGGAGAUAUUUACACACUAACAGGCUCCGCGGUCGGAAUUCAUAUCUCCACCUCGCUUAAAUCCCAAACCGGCGUCCUUUCAUUUUUCCCCCUGCUAAAUCUGAGCCGAGUCUGGAUCAUGCUAAUUGCUGGUGGUACCUUGGGGCCUGAGCCAUGAGCUCAUUAUUUUUACCUCCAGAAAGCCCUCACAAACAGCAGGCCCACAGAGGGAGUGUGUGUGAGUGUGUGUGUGUGUGUGUGUGUGUUUUUUCAUAUUCCCCCUAAAGUGUUAGGGAGUUCCUUUUCAUUUCCACAAUAACAAGCAAGUCAAAUAUACUUGCAGCUCAUUUCUCUUACGAAAAGAAAAAAAGGAGGAAAUCAGAGCUAGCUUAAAGCUCACGGAUUAUUUUAUAUCAUUUUACGCAUGAGAGGCGAAUCUUCACUUUAAUUAGCUGCUAUAUUCAGACGCUGACAUUAAAUUUCUGCUUUUCUUUUUUUUUUUUACUCAUUAUUCUCUUUAACACCGCUCCUCUAUUCCCGCUUUUUCUUCUUCUUGUUCUUCUUUUUUUUUUUUAUCUCCGAGAGCUGUGCAUUUAAUUAAGCGGAGGGCAGCAACGACAUCGGCUGACGCUUAAGGAGUCCCCCACCUCCCCCCACCCAAACACACACAUGUACUUUCUCUUAUUUCCUACACGGGCAUUGAUUUUUAAUCUGCACGAACAAUUUACACCGAUCAUCCUGCUCAAAAGUUUACACCCCCCCCCCCCCCGGCUCUUGAUGUGUGGUGUCGCGUUCUUGAGCGUCAGUGAACGUUUGCACGUUGUGUAAUUAGUCGUGUACGAGGCCCUCGGUGUGAAAAGACGGACCUCGACAUCAUAUUGUUGGAAAGGGCUGAAAUAUGCAGAAGACGCUGGAAACGUAAAGAACGUGCAGGACCUGGAGGAUUUCUCUGAAGAACAGUGGGGGGUUUAACUGCUCAGGACGAACACGGGACUCGUGAAGAACUCUCGCAGAACAUAAACACAUCGUGUCGUGGAUCAUCCCGGUAACGACACACGGGGUUAAUAAUCAAGGGUGUGUAAACUUUUGAACGGGGUCAUCGUUAUAAAUUCAGCUAUUAUCUUGUGGACUAUAAUGUAGAGGUGUUAUGUGAAAUAGUUUAUUCAGGACAGGACUAAAUAAACAGCGUGGGGUUUUUAUCAGCCGUCUUAUUUUGUUAACAGUAUUAAGAUUUAGCAGAUUCUGCAAGGGGUACGCAAACUUUUGAGCACAACUGUAUACACACACACACACACCUCCAUCCUCGUAUCUAUCCAGUUAUCCGCUUGAAUAUUCUUUCCUGCUACCCAUUCAUCCAUCUAUUUAUCGAUUUAUUUAUUUAUUUAUUCAUACAUUUACUCAACCUGUAAUAUAUCUGUUUGGUGGAUAGACGGGUGGAUAGACUAAUAGAUGGAUGGAAAUAGGUAAAUAAUUGGAUAACUAGACAAGUGGAUAAGUGAUGGGAUAAAAACAUGGCUGGAUGGAAGAAUGAAUGAAAAAAGACUUGAUAAGCAGGAUGUGUGGAUGGAUGGAUGGAUGGAUAAAAAGAAUCAGGGAGGGAAAGGUAAUCCGUCCAGUAUACUGCUAGGUAUUCAAAUCUACACUGGGAUCUGUCCAACCAGCCAUUGUGAUAUACUGAUCCAUCCAUUCACCCAUAUUUCCAACCACUCAUUUUUUAAUCUUUCUAUCUACCCAUUUAUCCGUCCUUUCAUCCAUCAAUCCAGCCCUCCUUCCAUUUUUUCCCACCAAGCCAUACAACCAUAUUUAUCCAUUCACCUUUCCAUUGUUUUAUAUCCUCAAACCUUCUCAAGCAUUCAUAUCUAUAUAUAUCUUUUUUCCAACCAUCCCAUCAUUAUCUUUCCAUCUAUCUAUCCUUCUGUUCUUUUACCCAUCCAGCACCCAUAUACAUUUGCAUAUGCUCAUCAUUUCAACUCUUCAUCCAUCCAUCCAUUUAUAAUUUUACCCAUCAGUCAAUCCAUCCAUCCAUCCAUCUAUUCAGGCUUUCAACGCAUCCAUUUUUCUACCCAUCAUGUAUCCAUCUACAUUCUGUUAUACAUGUUCAUGCAUCGAGCCAUUCAUUUUUCCAUAUAUAUUUUCCAUUCUUCUUUCCGUCCAGUCACUCGUCCAUCCUAACAAUCUUUUCAUCCAUUUUUCCAUGUCAGACCGUCUGACAUUUGACCUCUAUUUAUAUACCGAUCGAUCAAUCUAUCGGCUCAUCGAUCCAACCCUCCUUCCACUUUUUUCACCAUCCAUCCAUCCAACCAUCCAUAGAUCUACUGUUAGACCUAUUCAUCUAUCCUCCCAUCCAUCCACCCACCCUUUCCUCUGCUCAGCGAUGAUGAAAUCAGAACAGGAAGCCGACUCAGACGGCGUAUAUAGAGCUGUGUGACAUGGUCUGCGAGUGAAAGAGAAUUUGGAGAAUUGGUGUCCUGACUGUGUCCUCUGCUCUAAAUGGAGAACGAUUGAGGAUGAACUUCCAGACCUAAACAGUGUAUAAUUACACAGCUGUUCUCAGGAAAGAGAUAUGGAUGUGGGGAAAGCCCCCGUACUGGACGGAUAUGAACAUUCCCAGGUUCUCAGCUGUGUGGGAAAACUAUGAGGGACGGAGGAGGGAACAACGAAGGCUGUGGGAAAUACUAAGUCUGGAAGUCGCUCAGGCUGUAAAUAAAAUCAUGUGGUUCAUAUCAGCGAGAUCAGUAAAUCCAAACCGCGGAGUUCUCCCCCCGCCGUGCAGAGAUGAGGCUCGUACGGAGGAACCCUCGAUGACCGCAGUGAUGAUAUCCUGCUCGUUAACAUGCGUCUGUAAAAUCAGAAUGAUGAUGAUGCUGCUACUGCUUUACCACGUCGGAUUUAAUAUCCGGCGCAGACGGGCUGCGAGCAUCAGCGCCAACUCGGCAGGUUUUUCUUUCUUUUUUUUUUUUAAAGGCGGGGGGAUUUGGAGGAUGGUCAUGUGACCAGACAGCAGCCAAGCGGAGAGGCUGAAUCGAGGUCGAGCGUAAAGUUUAGUGGGUCAGAGAGGCUGGCAGACGACUGGUGGAAAAAAAAUGUGUGUGCCAGUCCAAGACAAGCUGAGAUAGAGGGAGGGAGGGAGAGAGAGAUAAACAGAAGAGAGAAGGGAGUGAUGAGAAACAAAUCCGAGGGCAGCAAAAGGAAACAGUCUGAUACAGAUGGAAACGUGGGCGAUGAAAAGGGGAGUAUAAAAAAAAACAAAAAAAAAACAGAUUUGAUUUGAAAAUCUAGACGGAUGGAGGAGGCACAGCUAAAUAAGGAAAUGGAUGGAUAGAUGGAGCGUAGAUAAAUGGAUAAACGGAUGAAUACACAGAUACUACGGAAGGGUUCGCUGGAUCAUUAAGGGUUCUUAGCCUCUUAAAGGUUACGGAGAAGGAAACAGAGUGAACAUACUGCAUCUGUAUACUCGAACACAAAAUAAUAUAAUGUAACACACACACAUACAUACACACAUAUAUAUAUAUAUAUAUAUA
This is a long non-coding RNA of Ictalurus punctatus (channel catfish), 18949 nucleotides long. The record is from Ensembl. NCBI's taxonomy places the organism in Eukaryota, Metazoa, Chordata, Actinopteri, Siluriformes, Ictaluridae.